CUGUGCCUGGGGAUGGCCUCGCCAGGCCGUGGGCCUGCCCUCCCGGGCGCGGAGAGCCAAGGCCGGCCCAGGUGUAGGUCACCCGAAGGAGGCCCGGCCUGAGUGAGGCCCGCGGGCCGCGCAGGCGGAAGCUGGUACUGGGAGCACGGACGACCUGGACACGCCUGAGCACAGGGUGGCUUAAGGAUGUCCUUGAAGAUUUUGAAAUUGGAUCUUCACAAGAAUUGCUUGGAUUAAAGUUUCCAGGAGCCUGAGGCCUGAGUAACUGCCUUUAGAUAAUAAUAAAUACAUAUUUAACACACUGGGGAUAUGAAUAAACACUGACAUGUUUUGA
Molecule: long non-coding RNA, 334 nt
Organism: Tupaia belangeri chinensis (Chinese tree shrew)
Lineage: Eukaryota; Metazoa; Chordata; Mammalia; Scandentia; Tupaiidae
Exons: 3
Source: RefSeq, a predicted model, not a curated record